GAACACCUCAACCCUCCAAUGUUUUUGCAUUGAAGGCGUUGGUAGUGAGCGCUGCCGGACUUCGGAUCGGCUCGCUUUAAAAUCAUUAGCUGGAUCCAUUCUGACCUGGUUCUACUCGGCGUAAUAAGUUAUUAUCGUCGAGGACGCCUGGCCUUCUAGGCUGGCGGCCACAGUAAGGGUGUUUGAACCGCUUCUAACGCGUCUUGCUCUUGUAGCAAACACUUGAAC
This 228-nucleotide unclassified non-coding RNA is filed under the name uncultured Geminibasidium. Its description in RNAcentral is "sequence contains ITS2". Lineage: Eukaryota; Fungi; Basidiomycota; Geminibasidiomycetes; Geminibasidiales; Geminibasidiaceae. The record is from RNAcentral.